GUUGUUACUAAGGCAGCAGAGUAGAAAGAUGAAGUGCAAGGACCUGGAAAUCAGACACACCUGGGUUCCUGGUGAGCUUCACUGCUUCCUGGUCUCUGAUAUCAGCUCUGCCCAAAUUUCAGCUGUCACAGAAUGAGUGAUCCUCAUAGUAUAAUGGAAAUGCAUCAUCUCAGUUUCCCCAUGGCCUGAAUGUCCAUACAAAAUGAGAGCCAGUAGAGAAAAACAGAGGACGUGAGGAGUUUUUAAAAAUUGAGGAAAAGUGGAAGGAAAAGUAAGGAUGAAGGUGAAGAUGAAGGAAUAUGUCAGAGAUGCUAGCACUGGCAUCCCCCACCACACAGUACCAUGUACUGCUAAAGAACUCUAGAACAUACAGGGUGUAGACGGCAGUCUUCUUGGGGAAAAAGAGGCUUCAGGAUUGCAAGAUUUCAGCUACUGUCUCUCCUCGGAGCAGGAUUCCAUCUUUUCCAUGGCUGGGGCCCUUGACACAUGUCACUGUGCACUGCUCUUCUCGCUGGGAUUUCCAAAAGACCUUGGCUCAGGUGUCACUUUUGCAGAAAAGCAUUUACUGACUGUUGACUUGGCCAAAUCCCUGUGCUGUGUUUCCUAGUACGCCACACCCUUGGGACUGCAGCCCUGUGAAGACUGAGGUUCUGACGAAAGUCAAGAAAAAUCUGCAUUGCAACUCUUCGAAGAGAAGAAUGUGACAUCUUGUGUCGUUUUCCAGAGGCAGCUGCAUAAAUCACAGGAGACUGAAUACAGGAGAAGAUGUAAGAAUCCAGUCAGCUUCUAUCAAACCAGACAUAAAAGACAUUUGCAGAUAUGUAAAACAAUGCCACUCUUCACAUUGCAUUUUUAAAAAAUAUUAUUUCCCAGAAAAUAUAUCAUCU
Molecule: long non-coding RNA, 887 nt
Filed under: Homo sapiens (human)
Lineage: Eukaryota; Metazoa; Chordata; Mammalia; Primates; Hominidae
Description: non-protein coding LINC00589:21
Source: RNAcentral